RNAcentral lists this long non-coding RNA (203 nucleotides) under Medicago truncatula (barrel medic). RNAcentral's name for it is "long non-coding RNA (MTRU_LNC000440)". The record is from RNAcentral. Lineage: Eukaryota; Viridiplantae; Streptophyta; Magnoliopsida; Fabales; Fabaceae.
AAAUUGCAAAAGUGUUUAAAAGAUUGUAUUGAAUUUGUAAAGACUUAAUGAAAGUUGGUACACAUAUUCAUACUUUGCAACUUGUAACUCGUUUGUCGCUUCCAUACGGACAGUAUUGAGUGUAAGUUUUUAGUAUGAUUGAAUUGUGACCCUUUUUUCCUAAGAAAAACUACUAUUUAUACAGAUAGUCCUAUAACUACCUA